Molecule: small RNA, 163 nt
Filed under: Arabidopsis thaliana (thale cress)
Lineage: Eukaryota; Viridiplantae; Streptophyta; Magnoliopsida; Brassicales; Brassicaceae
Description: ATSL022510
Source: RNAcentral
GCCAAUAACUUUUUUAUUCGUGGAAUUUCACGAAAUAUAUACAAAAAAUAUAUAAUUUCUUUAUAUUAUACCACGAAAGCAUACACCACAUUUCACACUUGAAUCCCAAAGAGAAAUCAGACACUACUUUCUAAUGAAGAAUUAGUUAUCUAGUACCAUAGAA